Molecule: non-coding RNA, 75 nt
Organism: Albula glossodonta (roundjaw bonefish)
Lineage: Eukaryota; Metazoa; Chordata; Actinopteri; Albuliformes; Albulidae
Source: the annotation of a GenBank genome assembly
GCCCUGGUAGCUCAUCCGGUAGAGCACAUGCCACAUAAGGCCAGGCCGUACCUGGUUCGAAUCCAGCCUGGGCCC